RNAcentral lists this ribosomal RNA (428 nucleotides) under uncultured bacterium. RNAcentral describes it as "bacterial SSU rRNA". It matches the Rfam family "Bacterial small subunit ribosomal RNA", at positions 355 to 775 of the family's 1533-position model. The record is from RNAcentral.
UGGGGAAUUUUGGACAAUGGGGGCAACCCUGAUCCAGCCAUGCCGCGUGUGUGAAGAAGGCCUUCGGGUUGUAAAGCACUUUCGGCCGGAACGAAAUCGCGCGGGCUAUUACCCCGCGUGGAUGACGGUACCGGAAGAAGAAGCACCGGCUAACUACGUGCCAGCAGCCGCGGUAAUACGUAGGGUGCGAGCGUUAAUCGGAAUUACUGGGCGUAAAGGGUGCGCAGGCGGUCCUGCAAGUCAGGCGUGAAAUCCCCGGGCUUAACCUGGGAAUGGCACUUGAAACUACGGGACUGGAGUAUGGCAGAGGGAGGUGGAAUUCCACGUGUAGCGGUGAAAUGCGUAGAGAUGUGGAGGAACACCGAUGGCGAAGGCAGCCUCCUGGGCCAAUACUGACGCUCAUGCACGAAAGCGUGGGGAGCAAACAG